CUCAGGAGGGUUUCUGGAUGCCAACGAGACCCCAGCCACAGCCGGUCCCCAGAUUCUUGACAUCAUCACAAGAAAGAAUUCACAGGGUUGCUUCAGCGUCCUCACAACAGGAUGGCUGACUUCCCCAAGAGAGCAGCUCAAGAGAGAGCAAGGAGAAAGACACAACAUCUUUAAUGAUCUAUGCUUGGAAGCUAUAUGUUGCCACUUUUGCAAUAUCCUACAGAUCGCUUAGCUCCAUCCAACAUGGAAAGGGAUCAGACACGGGCAUCAUUGCCAGAUGAUAAUCCCUGAUGGUCAUCUUGGAUGCUGGCCACCACAGUUACAUUUGAGGUCAGCGUUGCUUCCACUGCACCUCUGAAAGUACUCAGCUCUGCCCCAAACCUGGAGAGUGCCGCAUUUCUCCAGACUGCAAGAAACAGUGUGGAUGACUCAGUGGAGAUCAUAAUGGCAUCUGAGUGAUCAACGACAGCCUCCAGUUGCCACUUGGUGAGAGAACAAAGGAACCGGGGCAUGCUCAGCUAUGGCUGCAAGCCCUUCAAGUGAAGCUGGGCACUUACCCCCUUCAUUCCAUUCUCCUCAGGAUAACAGAUUAAAAUUCCAGAAGUGUGCACCUGUUGUGUAUUCAGGAGAUUGUCGUUGUGCAUAAAGAGACCACUUGAGGCCCUGUAAGCAAAGACUAAUGGGGCUGAGUCAAAAUCUGGGAAUCUGAUGAACUAACACACUCAAAUGAAACUGAUUUGUGGGCAAGUACGAAUAGAAUA
This 761-nucleotide long non-coding RNA is filed under the name Homo sapiens (human). RNAcentral describes it as "HSALNT0384858". Lineage: Eukaryota; Metazoa; Chordata; Mammalia; Primates; Hominidae. The record is from RNAcentral.